Molecule: ribosomal RNA, 643 nt
Filed under: uncultured Russulaceae
Lineage: Eukaryota; Fungi; Basidiomycota; Agaricomycetes; Russulales; Russulaceae
Description: eukaryotic LSU rRNA
Rfam family: 5.8S ribosomal RNA (bases 200-353)
Source: RNAcentral
AAGGAUCAUUAUCGUACAACCGAGGUGCGAGGGCUGUCGCUGACCUUCAGAGGUCGUGCACGCCCGAGCGCUCUCCCACAAUCCAUCUCACCCUUUGUGCAUCACCGCGUGGGUCCCCCUUUGCGGGAGGGCUCGCGUUUUCACAUAAAACUCGAUACAGUCUAGAAUGUUUAUUUUUGCGGUCACACGCGAUCAAUACAACUUUCAACAACGGAUCUCUUGGCUCUCGCAUCGAUGAAGAACGCAGCGAAAUGCGAUACGUAAUGUGAAUUGCAGAAUUCAGUGAAUCAUCGAAUCUUUGAACGCACCUUGCGCCCCUUGGCAUUCCGAGGGGCACACCCGUUUGAGUGUCGUGAAAUCCUCAAAAUCCUCUUCUUUGAUCGGAACAGGACUUUUGGACUUGGAGGUUCAAUGCUCGCUUUCACCUUUGAAAGCGAGCUCCUCUCAAAUGAAUUAGUGGGGUCCGCUUUGCUGGUCCUUGACGUGAUAAGAUGUUUCUACGUUUUGGAUUUGGCACUGUUUUCUCCGCUCCUAACCGUCUCGUGGACAACGAUGGUGCUUCGGUCGCCGCCGUCUAUGGCGGGAGGCUGGACCCACAAAAAACCUUGACCUCAAAUCGGGUGAGACUACCCGCUGAACUUAA